UCCUACGGGAGGCAGCAGUGGGGAAUAUUGCACAAUGGGCGAAAGCCUGAUGCAGCGACGCCGCGUGAGGGAUGACGGCCUUCGGGUUGUAAACCUCUUUCAGCAGGGAAGAAGCCACAAGUGACGGUACCUGCAGAAGAAGCGCCGGCUAACUACGUGCCAGCAGCCGCGGUAAUACGUAGGGCGCAAGCGUUGUCCGGAAUUAUUGGGCGUAAGGAGCUCGUAGGCGGUUUGUCGCGUCUGCUGUGAAAGCCCGGGGCUUAACCCCGGGUGUGCAGUGGGUACGGGCAGACUAGAGUGCAGUAGGGGAGACUGGAAUUCCUGGUGUAGCGGUGGAAUGCGCAGAUAUCAGGAGGAACACCGAUGGCGAAGGCAGGUCUCUGGGCUGUUACUGACGCUGAGGAGCGAAAGCAUGGGGAGCGAACAGGAUUAGAUACCCUGGUAGUCCAUGCCGUAAACGUUGGGCACUAGGUGUGGGGGACAUUCCACGUUUUCCGCGCCGUAGCUAACGCAUUAAGUGCCCCGCCUGGGGAGUACGGCCGCAAGGCUAAAACUCAAAGGAAUUGACGGGGGCCCGUACAAGCGGCGGAGCAUGCGGAUUAAUUCGGUGCAACGCGAAGAACCUUACCAAGGCUUGACAUAUACCGGAUCGUUCCAGAGAUGGUUCUUCCCCUUUGGGGUCGGUAUACAGGUGGUGCAUGGUUGUCGUCAGCUCGUGUCGUGAGAUGUUGGGUUAAGUCCCGCAACGAGCGCAACCCUCGUUCCAUGUUGCCAGCACGUGAUGGUGGGGACUCAUGGGAGACUGCCGGGGUCAACUCGGAGGAAGGUGGGGAUGACGUCAAAUCAUCAUGCCCCUUAUGUCUUGGGCUUCACGCAUGCUACAAUGGCCGGUACAAAGGGUUGCGAUACUGUGAGGUGGAGCUAAUCCCAAAAAGCCGGUCUCAGUUCGGAUUGAGGUCUGCAACUCGACCUCAUGAAGUCGGAGUCGCUAGUAAUCGCAGA
Molecule: ribosomal RNA, 1002 nt
Filed under: uncultured Kocuria sp.
Lineage: Bacteria; Bacillati; Actinomycetota; Actinomycetes; Micrococcales; Micrococcaceae
Description: bacterial SSU rRNA
Rfam family: Bacterial small subunit ribosomal RNA
Source: RNAcentral